This 365-nucleotide unclassified non-coding RNA is filed under the name uncultured Chloroflexota bacterium. RNAcentral describes it as "uncultured Chloroflexi bacterium contains 16S-23S intergenic spacer region". The record is from RNAcentral. Lineage: Bacteria; Bacillati; Chloroflexota.
UCCGAGUUUCUCUCGGCAGUCCGGCCUGAGUGAUACAACAGGCCGCGAGGGUUGCGCUCGUUGCGGGACUUAACCCAACAUCUCACGACACGAGCUGACGACAGCCGUGCAACACCUGUGUACGCUCCCUUGCGGGUCCCUCCCCUUUCGGAUCGGUACCACGUACAUGUCAAGUCUCGGUAAGGUUCUUCGCGUACCAUCGAAUUAAACCGCACGCUCCGCUGCUUGUGCGGGCCCCCGUCAAUUCCUUUGAGUUUUAACCUUGCGGUCGUACUCCCCAGGCGGGUCACUUAAUGCGUUAGCUUCGGCACUGCCGGGGUCGAUACCGACAACACCUAGUGACCAUUGUUUACGGCUAGGACUAA